CCAAGCUUGCACAAACAGCCACAAUAUCUGGGCUAGUAGUAUAAACAUAGAUGUUGUGGUUGUUUGUGCAAGAUUGG
Molecule: non-coding RNA, 77 nt
Organism: Podarcis lilfordi (Lilford's wall lizard)
Lineage: Eukaryota; Metazoa; Chordata; Lepidosauria; Squamata; Lacertidae
Source: the annotation of a GenBank genome assembly